CAAUAGCGUAUAUUAAAGUUGUUGCAGUUAAAAAGCUCGUAGUUGGACCUUGGACCUGGACAGGCGGUCCGCCUCACGGCGAGUACUGUCUUGCUGGUCUUUCCUCUUGGUGAUCUGUUGUUUCGGCAGCAGGGAACCAGGACCUUUACUUUGAAAAAAUUAGAGUGUUCAAAGCAGGCUCGACGCCGGAAUAUAUUAGCAUGGAAUAAUAAAAUAGGACGUGCGGUUCUAUUUUGUUGGUUUUUGGAAUCGCCGUAAUGAUUAAUAGGGACAGUCGGGGGCAUUAGUACUCACAUGCUAGAGGUGAAAUUCUUGGAUUUUGUGAAGACUAACUUCUGCGAAAGCGUUUGCCAAGGAUGUUUUCAUUA
Molecule: ribosomal RNA, 368 nt
Filed under: uncultured eukaryote
Lineage: Eukaryota
Description: partial 18S ribosomal RNA
Rfam family: Eukaryotic small subunit ribosomal RNA
Source: RNAcentral